Molecule: ribosomal RNA, 460 nt
Filed under: uncultured bacterium
Lineage: Bacteria
Description: partial 16S ribosomal RNA
Rfam family: Bacterial small subunit ribosomal RNA
Source: RNAcentral
CCUACGGGAGGCUGCAGUGAGGAAUAUUGGUCAAUGGGCGCGAGCCUGAACCAGCCAAGUCGCGUGAAGGAGGACGGCCCUACGGGUUGUAAACCUCUUUUGCCGGGGAGCAACGGGCGUCACGUGUGGCGCCACUGAGAGUACCCGUAGAAAAAGCAUCGGCUAACUCCGUGCCAGCAGCCGCGGUAAUCCGGGGGAUGCGAGCUUUAUCCGGAUUUAUUGGGUUAAAAGGGUGCGUAGGCGGCUCGUUAAGUCAGUGGGAAAAUUUAGGGGCCAAACCCCUUCCCGCCAUUGAAACUGGCGCUCUUGAGUGGAAGAGAGGUAUGCGGAAUGCGUGGUGUAGCGGUGAAAUGCAUAGAUAUCACGCAGAACUCCGAUUGCGAAGGCAGCAUACCGGCGCUCAACUGACGCUCAGGCACGAAAGUGUGGGUAUCGAACAGGAUUAGAUACCCGGGUAGUC